UCUGGUCUUGGGACACUGUCAGGUGGGCAGUUUGACUGGGGCGGUCGCCUCCCAAAAGGUAACGGAGGCGCUCAAAGGUUCUCUCAGUACGGUCGGAAAUCGUACGUAGAGUGUAAAGGCAAAAGAGAGCUGGAUUGCAAGACAUACAGGUCGAGCAAGGAUGAAAAUCGGACUUAGUGAUCCGGUGGUUCUGCGUGGAAGGGCCAUCGCUCAACGGAUAAAAGCUACCCUGGGGAUAACAGGCUUAUCUCCCCCAAGA
Molecule: ribosomal RNA, 259 nt
Filed under: Clostridioides difficile
Lineage: Bacteria; Bacillati; Bacillota; Clostridia; Peptostreptococcales; Peptostreptococcaceae
Description: partial 23S ribosomal RNA
Rfam family: Bacterial large subunit ribosomal RNA
Source: RNAcentral